AGUGAACGCUGGCGGCGUGCUUAACACAUGCAAGUCGAACGAGAACGGAUCAUAGCUUGCUAUAAUUGUCAGCUAAGUGGCGCACGGGUGAGUAAUGUAUAGGUAAUAUGCCUCUUACUAAGGGAUAACAAAUGGAAACGUUUGCUAAUACCUUAUACUCCUUAUUAACAGAAGUUAAUAAGGGAAAGAUUUAUUGGUAAGAGAUUAGCCUGUAUUGUAUCAGUUAGGUGGUGGGGUAAUGGCUUACCAAGACUAUGACACAUAACUGGUUUGAGAGGAUGAUCAGUCACACUGGAACUGAGACACGGUCCAGACUCCUACGGGAGGCAGCAGUGGGGAAUAUUGCACAAUGGACGAAAGUCUGAUGCAGCAACGCCGCGUGGAGGAUGACACAUUUCGGUGCGUAAACUCCGUUUAUAUGAGAAGAUAAUGACGGUAUUAUAUGAAUAAGCACCGGCUAACUCCGUGCCAGCAGCCGCGGUAA
This 484-nucleotide ribosomal RNA is filed under the name uncultured bacterium. RNAcentral describes it as "partial 16S ribosomal RNA". It matches the Rfam family "Bacterial small subunit ribosomal RNA", at positions 29 to 523 of the family's 1533-position model. The record is from RNAcentral.